Chenopodium quinoa (quinoa) is the source of this 1169-nucleotide long non-coding RNA. RefSeq lists it as uncharacterized. The record is from RefSeq and is a predicted model, not a curated record. The transcript is spliced from 5 exons. NCBI's taxonomy places the organism in Eukaryota, Viridiplantae, Streptophyta, Magnoliopsida, Caryophyllales, Amaranthaceae.
AAUUAUUGUUAUAAUUUACUUGCUGGUGGUACAACAUUAGUUUUGCUUCUCUCUCAAUUUUAUGCCUCAUUUUGCUGCUAGGUACUGUUACUCUUACCACCAUUUUCACUCUCUUUUCUAUGAUUUUUUUUAUGGUCUGUGAUAAAAGAUUGGACUUUUAUCUCUGGGUUGCUUGAUUGAUUGUUUCUUUCAUAUGGGUAUUUGAUUUUUUGGUAGGAUAUUAAAUUGGUUUUGUUGGGCUUUUUUUGGUUUAGGUUUAUGUGUGAUAGUGAGGUUCAACUGAUAGCUUGGGAGUUUUUUCUGGGCAGCAACCAUGAGGAGUCGAAGCAGAGAGCAGCGCUGUGUAGCUCUAUUGCGACGGAACAGACUAACUGUUUUGUUGGAGGUUGAAAGCCGUAUUUUGUGAGGAAUUUUGGGCAUCAAAUAGAAGAAAAGCGGCGGCAGCCUUGAAGAAGCAGUAGAUUUGAAGCUCCGGUGAAGCACUUCGCUUCCUUGGGGUAGUUCGUGGCUGCUGUUUUCCCCUCUCAACUCCAGGAAUUUGGCGAGCCGAACGUGAUUGUGAGUUCCUUGAAACAGAAAAAAGCAUGCUUACAUUCUUUUAGUGGGUGCUCAUAUCUUCGAUGACAAUACAGGGGAUAAGAUGGGCCUAUCUCCAUUCCUACUUUGUGCCAAGCAGGAUUCGUAUCAGAAUGAGUACUUGCGUGGACACUGCUUCCUCAUAGCUGAACUACAAAAUGUGGAUCUUGUUCUUGAUGGCAGGAGAAAGAAAAUUUCAAGAGAGAGAAAUGGCAUGUGUACGCGCGAUCAUAGCUGUGAAGAUUAAGAUUGUUCAACAGUUCAACUAAUUGAUCUCUUCACAGAAUACUUCUUCCUAAGAGCUUCUGUUUUCUGUCCCUGCUGGUUUGCUAUGGUCUGUCUUUCUGCUGGCCUGUUGUGUAGCUGUUCUGCGUUCCUGAGCUUGGUUCUGAUGUGGUGGCUACUGUGCUGGUGUCUUUGCUCUGGUGCAGUUUGUGUUUCUGUGACCCUGGGACUGUUCUGCUAUGGUUCAGAUUGCUAUGAUGCUGUUUGCGUUUGGUCUGGUCAGUUUUUCAGUUGCGGUUUUGCUGAUUUGCUUUGCUCUGAUUCUGUGUUGCUGAGUGCUAGGUUUUAUGGGCUGAUCCUUGAAGCUU